This 80-nucleotide transfer RNA is filed under the name Leptospira vanthielii serovar Holland str. Waz Holland = ATCC 700522. RNAcentral describes it as "tRNA-His". Lineage: Bacteria; Pseudomonadati; Spirochaetota; Leptospiria; Leptospirales; Leptospiraceae. The record is from RNAcentral.
UCUCGGGGUAGGUGGUAAAAGCCAAAAGACUAUGGAUAUUUUAGAGAUCCAAAAAUGGUUCCAAAUCCUUUCCUCAAGGG